Molecule: long non-coding RNA, 120 nt
Organism: Rhagoletis zephyria (snowberry fruit fly)
Lineage: Eukaryota; Metazoa; Arthropoda; Insecta; Diptera; Tephritidae
Source: RefSeq, a predicted model, not a curated record
GUUUAUUUAUAAACGUAUGUGUUCCUUUUCUUUCGUACGUGUUUAUUGAUAUAUCCGUACUGUAUGUUUUCGGACGGUACUAGCUCUUACUGCCAAUAUAGGAGUAUUACAUACAUAUAU